GUUCAUAUAGAUGGACUUACUUAAAAGGGAAGCCUGUGAGAGUCAGGCGCUGUCCCGCAACUGUAAAUGUCGGUUGAUCUUGCAUAGCCACUGCUUGUGAAAGUGGGAAGGGCGAGGCAACGAGAGGCAUGAGCCAGGAGACCUGCCGUACGCAA
RNAcentral lists this non-coding RNA (155 nucleotides) under Kurthia massiliensis. Lineage: Bacteria; Bacillati; Bacillota; Bacilli; Caryophanales; Caryophanaceae. The record is from RNAcentral.